This 581-nucleotide long non-coding RNA is filed under the name Androctonus crassicauda. The record is from RNAcentral. Lineage: Eukaryota; Metazoa; Arthropoda; Arachnida; Scorpiones; Buthidae.
UAUAGAUACAUAUAAAUCGAAAGUAAACAUUUUGCAAUAUGUAUGCAAUUAUAUACAUAUACACAAAAUAUAUUCAAUUCGUAUAUAGACAUCAAAAUGAAAAUUUUUAUCCCUUCAUUAAUACAGUAUAUAUAAGUAAUGUGUACAGUAAAUACACUAAUAUAAUUUUGCCCAAAUACGGAUGCAAAUUUAAUUUAAUACCGUAUUAAUAGUUAUGCAUGUAAUAAUUACAGAAUGACAAACGGAUGUCUGUCGAUGUCUCACGGAUUAUCAGUAACUAGGUUUCAAUAUGGCGUCUUUCGGAAUUCGGAAUACGCUGCGAAGCUCCGCCCAUUGGAGGGAAAGACGUUUUCAAAGGUACCGCCGAGAGUGCACCUACUGGAUAUUCAUUAUACUGUGUCUUUGCUUCGCGUCGCGUUCAGUGUGUCACGGCCUUAAGUUCACUAGGAAUUUUUUGCGUUUCUAUCUGUACUAUUUUCGCCGUGCUUCACCAGUACGGCAACAAUCAUGCCGUUAUCCCAUUUAGAUAUAAUCUUAUGAAUUAAUAUUUUAAUUUUUCGUAAUAUAUAAAAUUAAAUUUU